RNAcentral lists this small RNA (582 nucleotides) under Pongo abelii (Sumatran orangutan). Its description in RNAcentral is "retained intron". The record is from RNAcentral. Lineage: Eukaryota; Metazoa; Chordata; Mammalia; Primates; Hominidae.
UGUUGCUUAUACAUUCAUUAAUAUAAUACAAAGAACUUGAAUAAAUUGAUGUACUUUUUCACUUAUAAUUUUUCUAUUACAGUUAAAUAUGAAAGGAUCAAAUUUUUGGUGAUUGCCUUAAAGAAUGCUGUGGAAAUAUAUGCUUGGGCUCCUAAACCAUAUCAUAAAUUCAUGGCAUUUAAGUCUUUUGCAGAUCUCCAGCACAAGCCUCUGCUAGUUGAUCUCACAGUAGAAGAAGGUCAAAGAUUAAAGGUUAUUUUUGGUUCACACACUGGUUUCCAUGUAAUUGAUGUUGAUUCAGGAAACUCUUAUGAUAUCUACAUACCAUCUCAUAUUCAGGGCAAUAUCACUCCUCAUGCUAUUGUCAUCUUGCCUAAAACAGAUGGAAUGGAAAUGCUUGUUUGCUAUGAGGAUGAGGGGGUGUAUGUAAACACCUAUGGCCGGAUAACUAAGGAUGUGGUGCUCCAAUGGGGAGAAAUGCCCACGUCUGUGGGUAGGUUAACCCUUCCUUAUCUCCUUCAGCAGUUACACCCCCCAAAUGAAACGAAAAUCAAGAAAUGUGAAACAACCAUUUGAUUCCAC